GAAACAUCUUAGUACCCGGAGGAAGAGAAAGAAAAUUCGAUUCCCUUAGUAGCGGCGAGCGAAACGGGAAGAGCCCAAACCAACAAGCUUGCUUGUUGGGGUUGUAGGACACUCUAUACGGAGUUACAAAGGACGACAUUAGACGAAUCAUCUGGAAAGAUGAAUCAAAGAAGGUAAUAAUCCUGUAGUCGAAAAUGUUGUCUCUCUUGAGUGGAUCCUGAGUACGACGGAGCACGUGAAAUUCCGUCGGAAUCUGGGAGGACCAUCUCCUAAGGCUAAAUACUCUCUAGUGACCGAUAGUGAACCAGUACCGUGAGGGAAAGGUGAAAAGCACCCCGGAAGGGGAGUGAAAUAGAA
This 357-nucleotide ribosomal RNA is filed under the name Staphylococcus aureus. RNAcentral describes it as "partial 23S ribosomal RNA". It matches the Rfam family "Bacterial large subunit ribosomal RNA", at positions 195 to 548 of the family's 2925-position model. The record is from RNAcentral. Lineage: Bacteria; Bacillati; Bacillota; Bacilli; Caryophanales; Staphylococcaceae.